Panicum virgatum (switchgrass) is the source of this 755-nucleotide long non-coding RNA. RefSeq lists it as uncharacterized. Lineage: Eukaryota; Viridiplantae; Streptophyta; Magnoliopsida; Poales; Poaceae. The record is from RefSeq and is a predicted model, not a curated record. The transcript is spliced from 3 exons.
UUGCUGCAACCUCGGCCGUCUGCGACGCCGGACGCGCGGCGCGGCACCGCCCUGACGCCUCAGGGCCACGUCGCAUCGCUGCCUCCGCCCCUGCUUUGUCGCCCCUUCCUCUCCCCUGGUCCUGGUCAGCGAUGUACUCGCCGACCGGCCGUGCUGGCGGAUCUACUCGGUGCACCAUCUCUCCAUCUCCACGCGGCUCUGCUCCACGGCACGGCCAGCCUUCCCAGCGUCUGGCUCAACUGGCGGCGCGUCUUGCCUCUUCCUCUCCCCACCGAAUGGUUUUCAUAUUGUCUUCUCUUCUAAUUGGCACAGUGGUAGAGUGCUGCCUGUAACUCCACACAGGUGCUCAGCCUACGAAAUGCAAGGGCAUUUUCAUAUUAUUUUGGUAUAGUGUUAUCUAGAAGAAAAACUUCUUGCUCAAUGCUUCAUUAGCGUCUAAUGUAUCCUAAUGCUCCUAUGGAUGGACUUAUGUGUUAUACCUUGCUAUUGCCACUCAAUGCAUUUAGAUACAGUAAGUUCCAAUAUCCUCCACAAUGUCAGUUUUAUAUCUCCAAGUAUUUUGUUUAGUGCAUUUUGACUUUUCCUUAACUUUCGAUGCUAUAGGUAUGUUGAUAAACUGACUUAUCCUGCUCUCUAGCUAUCUCAUAUGAUCUUGGACAUUCCUACACAUCUUUCAAUUAGUAAGUCGUGUGGUAUUUAUGAGACUACAAUAUGUUUCUGUUUUUUGGGUUCCCUCGCAGUACAGCUUACCUUCU